This 257-nucleotide ribosomal RNA is filed under the name uncultured bacterium. RNAcentral describes it as "partial 16S ribosomal RNA". It matches the Rfam family "Bacterial small subunit ribosomal RNA", at positions 524 to 776 of the family's 1533-position model. The record is from RNAcentral.
UACGAAGGGUGCAAACGUUGCUCGGAAUAUUGGGCGUAAAGCGCACGUAGGCGGCUUGGCAAGUCGGAUGUGAAAUCCCUCGGCUCAACCAAAGGAAGUGCAUCCGAAACUGCUGAGCUUGAGUACUUAAGAGGAUCGCGGAAUUCCCCGGUGUAGAGGUGAAAAUUCGUAGAUAUCGGGAGGAAUACCAAAGGCGAAGGCAGUUGUCCUGGCUGGCAUCUGACGCUGAGGCGCGAAAGCUAGGGGGAGCGAACAGG